RNAcentral lists this transfer RNA (72 nucleotides) under Camelus ferus (Wild Bactrian camel). It matches the Rfam family "tRNA". Rfam says of the family: Transfer RNA (tRNA) molecules are approximately 80 nucleotides in length. Their secondary structure includes four short double-helical elements and three loops (D, anti-codon, and T loops). Further hydrogen bonds mediate the characteristic L-shaped molecular structure. tRNAs have two regions of fundamental functional importance: the anti-codon, which is responsible for specific mRNA codon recognition, and the 3' end, to which the tRNAs corresponding amino acid is attached (by aminoacyl-tRNA synthetases). tRNAs cope with the degeneracy of the genetic code in two manners: having more than one tRNA (with a specific anti-codon) for a particular amino acid; and 'wobble' base-pairing, i.e. permitting non-standard base-pairing at the 3rd anti-codon position. The record is from Rfam by way of RNAcentral. Lineage: Eukaryota; Metazoa; Chordata; Mammalia; Artiodactyla; Camelidae.
GAGGGUAUAGCUCAAUAGUAGAGUGCGUGCUUGAUAUAUAUGAGCUCCUAGGUUUGAUUCCCAGUACCUCCA